Camelina sativa (false flax) is the source of this 151-nucleotide non-coding RNA. The record is from RefSeq and is a predicted model, not a curated record. NCBI's taxonomy places the organism in Eukaryota, Viridiplantae, Streptophyta, Magnoliopsida, Brassicales, Brassicaceae.
AAGCUUAUCGUCCGCUGCAAGAUUGUCGUGGGUGUAAUAAUCUAGAGGAUGCGCACGCUUCCUCAGCUGCUGCUCUACACUACGAUCCAGAUCUCAAAGAUGUGAACAUAGUUGCCACAUACAGUGACCAUUAUGGCCAUAUACGGCUUGG